This 492-nucleotide ribosomal RNA is filed under the name uncultured bacterium. Its description in RNAcentral is "partial 16S ribosomal RNA". It matches the Rfam family "Bacterial small subunit ribosomal RNA", at positions 29 to 507 of the family's 1533-position model. The record is from RNAcentral.
AGUGAACGCUGGCGGUAUGCCUAACACAUGCAAGUCGAACGGAAGCACAGUAAGAUCUUGCUCUUACGGGUGGCGAGUGGCGGACGGGUGAGGAAUACAUCGGAAUCUACUUUUUCGUGGGGGCUAACGUAGGGAAACUUACGCUAAUACCGCAUACGACCUACGGGUGAAAGCAGGGGAUCUUCGGACCUUGCGCGAUUGAAUGAGCCGAUGUCGGAUUAGCUAGUUGGCGGGGUAAAGGCCCACCCAGGCGACGAUCCGUAGCUGGUCUGAGAGGAUGAUCAGCCACACUGGAACUGAGAGACGGUCCAGACUCCUACGGGAGGCAGCAGUGGGGAAUAUUGGACAAUGGGCGCAAGCCUGAUCCAGCCAUACCGCGUGGGUGAAGAAGGCCUUCGGGUUGUAAAGCCCUUUUGUUGGGAAAGAAAAGCAGCAGGUUAAUACCCCGCUGUUCUGACGGUACCCAAAGAAUAAGCACCGGCUAACUUCGUG